Molecule: long non-coding RNA, 1001 nt
Organism: Gossypium arboreum
Lineage: Eukaryota; Viridiplantae; Streptophyta; Magnoliopsida; Malvales; Malvaceae
Exons: 2
Source: RefSeq, a predicted model, not a curated record
GUCAUGGAUGCGACGAAUUUAGAUGCAAAUAGGCAGUUGGGUAAUUUAUUAAAAGCCCCUCAUAAUUUUCUAAUUUUUCUAAUGACUCCCCUGUAACCACUACGCACUUUAAUCCAACCUUUGAACAAUCGGAGGGGACGGUGGUGGUUUUAGAUGAUUCAAUACUUGACCCAGGAAAACACACGGUUGUUGUCUUUAAGAAAAAUGCUAAUACAAAUGAAGGAGAAGCUUUGAGGGAUGAUAUAACCAACGACAGUGGAAAAAAAGUUCAUAAUUUCAAAGCUUGGGGUUCAAAUGAUAAAGACGGAUCAAGCUGUAAUGGUAAAAAACUCAAUCGAACCAUCCGUAAUCGUGGGGACAAGUUUAAAUUAGUUGGUACUGCCCGUGUACCUUUGACUGAAUCUUUGAAUUCUAUGGUUGAGUUAGUUAAUGCUCAACUAGACAUAGAAAUGGGCAAAGAACUAAAGGCUUCGAAAGGAAAGCAGACACCGGGGUCUAGGAAUUCCAAGCAAUAAGGUUGGUAUUAAUCCUAUUUUUUAUUUUUUAUGGAUUUGACAGUUUUCUCUUGGAUUUGUUAGGGAUGUGCUAGUUCGAAAUUUCCUCGCAUUUUUCGUAAGUACAGUAGAAAACAUAAGCCCAGUAUUGUUAGCUUGCCAGAGACGAGGGCUAGUAGUUUCGAAGCAGGAUUUGGGGUUCAAGGGGCUUGCUUUCACGUGGCAUAGAGGGGGCUCUAUGAAAGAUUGGAUAGGGCUAUUGGUAAUGAUGCUUGGUUGAGAACUUUUCCGUACAGUUUUUUCACUCACCUUUCAAGGAUCAAGUCGGAUCAUAGAUUGUUGCUUUUCUCUCUCAAGCUGGAUGUUAAUUUGCCUAAAGGAUGUCCUUUUAUAUUUUUAGCUGGUUGGGUAGAACAUCCUAAUUUUUCGAAUUUUUUUAAAGAGAAGUGGUGCUUUAAAGGUAACAUGGUUGAAUCUCUGAAUCUUUUCACCUAUAACAUUAAAGAA